UACGUAGGGGGCGAGCGUUGUCCGAAGUUACUGGGCGUAAAGCGUGCGUAGGCGGUCUUGUUAGUCAGGUGUGAAAGCCCUCAGCCCAACUGAGGAAUUGCGCUUGAUACUGCAUGACUUGAGAAUGAUAGAGGUGGGUGGAACUGAUGGUGGAGCGGUGAAAUGCGUUGAUAUCAUCAGGAACACCAGUGGCGAAGGCGACCCACUGGGUCAUUUCUGACGCUGAGGUACGAAAGCUAGGGUAGCGAACGGGAUUAGAUACCCUAGUAGU
Molecule: ribosomal RNA, 271 nt
Filed under: uncultured bacterium
Lineage: Bacteria
Description: partial 16S ribosomal RNA
Rfam family: Bacterial small subunit ribosomal RNA
Source: RNAcentral